This 494-nucleotide ribosomal RNA is filed under the name uncultured bacterium. RNAcentral describes it as "bacterial SSU rRNA". It matches the Rfam family "Bacterial small subunit ribosomal RNA", at positions 30 to 523 of the family's 1533-position model. The record is from RNAcentral.
AUUGAACGCUGGCGGUAUGCUUAACACAUGCAAGUCGAACGGUAACAGGCCUUCGGGCGCUGACGAGUGGCGGACGGGUGAGUAACGCGUAGGAAUCUGCCUCAUAGUGGGGGACAACGUGGGGAAACUCACGCUAAUACCGCAUACGCCUACGGGGAAAGCGGGGAUCUUCGGACCUCGCGCUAUGAGAUGAGCCUGCGUUAGAUUAGCUAGUUGGUAGGGUAAAGGCCUACCAAGGCGACGAUCUAUAGCUGGUCUGAGAGGACGAUCAGCCACACUGGGACUGAGACACGGCCCAGACUCCUACGGGAGGCAGCAGUGGGGAAUAUUGGACAAUGGGCGCAAGCCUGAUCCAGCAAUACCGCGUGUGUGAAGAAGGCCCUAGGGUUGUAAAGCACUUUCAAUUGGGAGGAAAACCUGCCGGUCAAUACCCGGCAGCUUGACAUUACCUUUAGAAGAAGCACCGGCUAACUCCGUGCCAGCAGCCGCGGUAU